Molecule: ribosomal RNA, 368 nt
Filed under: Amorphochlora amoebiformis
Lineage: Eukaryota; Cercozoa; Chlorarachniophyceae
Description: partial Bacterial large subunit ribosomal RNA
Rfam family: Bacterial large subunit ribosomal RNA
Source: RNAcentral
GGGUGAUAGCCCCUUACACGAAAUUCAGACGGUGGUACUAAGCGUACGACAAGUAGGGCGGGACACGAGAAAUCCUGUCUGAACAUGGGGGGACCAUCCUCCAAGGCUAAAUACUCGUAAUCGACCGAUAGUGAACCAGUACCGUGAGGGAAAGGUGAAAAGAACCGUGAACAACGGAGUGAAAUAGACCCUGAAACCAUACGCCUACAAGCGGUCGGAGCCAGUUUACUGGUGACGGCGUGCCUUUUGCAUAAUGAGCCUACGAGUUACUUUUACCGGCAAGGUUAAGCACCUCAGGUGCGCAGCCGUAGCGAAAGCGAGUCUGAAUAGGGCGUAUAGUUGCAGGGAUGAGACCCGAAACGAGGUGA